Long non-coding RNA from Eurytemora carolleeae, 1334 nucleotides. RefSeq lists it as uncharacterized. The transcript is spliced from 3 exons. The record is from RefSeq and is a predicted model, not a curated record. NCBI's taxonomy places the organism in Eukaryota, Metazoa, Arthropoda, Copepoda, Calanoida, Temoridae.
ACCAACUUUUCUUGAUUUUCAAACCCUGGGCUGUCUAUUUUCGUCGUUAAUAGCUCAGUUGUUUAAAGUAUGUCUUACAACGUCCCCAUACCUAGAAAUCUAAGUGAACGGUAUCAAUCUUCAAUUGAAGCUGCUAUGAGUGCGACACCCCUUGCAUCAAAUACUGUCAAGAUAAAUAAAUAUCUUGUGAGGUAAUUCGGUCGGAACAUUAUUUCGUUUUAAGUAUACCUAAAAGAAUUUAUAUAUUAAUUUUUUGUCUCAUAGCAAGGGUGAGGCUGGUCAAGAUGCUAUCGACGCUGUUCGUCUUAGUGAAAUUGCAGUCCUAAAAAAUGAAGUUCAGUAAGUUUAAAAAAUAGUAACAAAUAUUUUAAAAUCGUGUAAGAGUUGGGCUUGGAGCGCCUUACCGCUAUGGUACACUAUGUGUGAAGUUUUAUGUUGUUCUUUGUUAAGAAAAAUAUACUUUUCAUAUUGUUAGACUCUGGAAAUCGAGGUACUAGGAGAUUGUUUUGGCGCGGAAGGACUAACAAGUAAAGUCUAAGGGUGUUUUCGUACUUGCAGGUCUGGAGUACAAUUCUAUUUCCUUAGUAAUAGAACGCCUAGAUUCCGACAAAGUCAUAAGGGAUAUGGACCACUACUGCAACAGCGACGACGAAAUCACGCGCCUGAAGUCGGCCAUUGCCAGUAUGGAGGAUACUCAAAUUGUCUUUAUAAGAGGUGUAGGAAGAUAUAUAUGAAUAAGUUAAUUCAAAAGAUUACAUCAUUUAAAAUCUUAAAAAAAAAAGAAAUAUUUGUGUUUUAGGCAUACAGAUCAUCUACAAUGCUCUUCUGGCUGUCCGGGCGAUUGUCUUUUAGGGAUACCAUGUCGUGUAUUAGAAAAUUUUUAAUUCAUUAAAUUAUUUCUAAUAUAGUUUUUUAUUCUACAUUUGUAAAUCAACUUUUUAGACUACUUUGUAAUGUUAGUGGGCUGGAAAAGUCGGGAUUCAGAAGGCUUAUGUUGGGGAGUUUUUUAGAAAGUGUACACUCUCUCAGUAUUCAUUAAAACGCAAUUCAGUUAAAAAUUUAAGAAUCGUGAAUAAAAGGUAAAUACGUUGUAUAGCAUGAAUCUUCCGAAUUCUUGGUGUACUUUUAAUUGCAGUUUCUUCAUUCUGAAGGUCUACUGGCUGGGCGGUUACAGAAUCUGCUUUAGACAAGUUUUCUGAAUCCUGUAGUGAUUCAUGGUCAGAAUUUUGAGGUGAAUAUGUUUGCUUCAUUUUACUCAUUAGUUCCACUAGUUUAUUUCUGGAUCCGUAGUUAUGGGGGUCAAAAUUAUCUCCCAUUAUAUCUUUCAGUUCUUU